UGGAGGCAGCAGUGGGGAAUUUUGCGCAAUGGGCGAAAGCCUGACGCAGCAACGCCGCGUGGAGGAUGAAGGUCUUCGGAUCGUAAACUCCUGUCAGGGGGGACGAAAGCCCGCAAGGGUUUGACUGUACCCUCUGAGGAAGCCACGGCUAACUCCGUGCCAGCAGCCGCGGUAAUACGGAGGUGGCAAGCGUUGUUCGGAAUUACUGGGCGUAAAGGGCGCGUAGGCGGCAUGGCAAGUCAGAUGUGAAAGCCCCGGGCUUAACUCGGGAACUGCAUCUGAAACUGCUUUGCUUGAGUCCUGGAGGGGGUAGUGGAAUUCCCAGUGUAGCGGUGAAAUGCGUAGAUAUUGGGAGGAACACCGGUGGCGAAGGCGGCUACCUGGACAGUGACUGACGCUGAGGCGCGAAAGCUAGGGGAGCAAACGGGAUUAGAUACCCCGGUAGU
This 446-nucleotide ribosomal RNA is filed under the name uncultured bacterium. Its description in RNAcentral is "bacterial SSU rRNA". It matches the Rfam family "Bacterial small subunit ribosomal RNA", at positions 343 to 794 of the family's 1533-position model. The record is from RNAcentral.